CCAGCCCUCCCCGGCCCGAACCGCAGACAGCGCCCGGCGGCGGCGCGAACAGCAGCGAGGAGGUUGGCUCUAGGCUUGGAGCUCACCGCGAGUUCCCGCACAGGGCCCAGCGGGAUAAGAACCCACGGAUUCGGCAGCGCUGGAGGAUGCAGACGAAGCUCCGGGCGGUAGCAGCGGGCCGCCUGACGCCCUGCAGGUCUGCAGUCGAGCAGCUGGGGCCCCGGAGGGCUUGAAGCCUUUUCACAGCGAUGGCGGAGAAGCGGCCACAGGGCCCCCUGGGGCCCAUGCUCUACGGCAAGCUGCCCCGUCUAGAGGCCAACUCUGGACCCCGGCACAGCUUGGCUCCCUCUGCUGCUAACCAGGACCCCUGCAACUACAAGGGUGCCUACUUCUGCCCCAUGGAGGGUGCUGCCAAAGCAGGGCCAGAGCGGUUGGCAUCCUGGACCCGGUACCCACCUUUGUGUCCUGCCAGCAUGGCAGGAUCCCCACUUCGGGAAGACAGCCUGUUGGCCAGCUGUCUGCUCUAUCGCCCACCGGCAGGAAGCUCUGAGAAGGUGCAGGACUCUGGCCCUGGUGAGCUCCUGCCCUUCAGUCCCCAGGCUCAUUCCUACCCAUGCCCCCCGCUGGCAGCACCCAAACCCGUCUAUCGCAGCCCUCUGUGUUAUGGGCUCUCGGCUUGCCUGGGGGAAGGGGCGGCGAAGAGGUCAUUGGAUGUUGAUUGGACACUGAUGGCUGGGCCCCUGUUACCCCCUGCCGAUGCACCUUGUUCUCUGACCCUGGCUCCUGGCAAGGGUCAGUCCCUGGAUGGCACCUUCUUGCGUGGAGUGUCAGUUGGGGGAUCUGGCAAAGACUCCUCAGGGAGCUUCUCCCCGUGCCAGGCAUUCCUGGACAAGUAUCAGACCGUCCACAGCACGGGCUUCCUGGCCUCCAAGUAUGCAGGACCUUAUUCUGGGGACCCCAAGCAGUCAUUGUCUGAGGGACCUCCCAGUCCUUGGACCCAGCUGGCCCAACCCUUGGGGCCAGCCUACCAGGAUACAGUGCCCUCCCACUACCCACUCUCUCCACCUGCACAGGCUCUGUCCUGCCCUCCAGCCUGUCACCACCCAGAGAAGCAGAGCAGCUACAGCUCGGUGCCCCCACUACAGCCUCUGGGAGCCCACAAGGGAGCUGGGUACCUGGCUGGUGGGCUGAGUAGCCCCUACCUGAGGCACCAGACAGCCCAGACACCCUGCAUGCCCCCAGUGGGGCUGGACACUUACUCCUAUCCCUCUGUUCCCCUCCCAGCACCCUCACCAGGCCUUAAGGUGGAGCCACCUCUUGCUCCACGGUGCCCACUUGACUUUGCCCCCCAGUCACUGGGCUUUCCUUAUGCACGGGAUGACCUUGUUCUCUAUGGGGCAUCCCCAGGGCUCAGAGGGACACCACCUUCCCAGAACAGUGUUCAGGCUGUGCCACAGCCCAGCGCCGUCCAGCAAGUGUGCCAGCCCAUGAGUGCCAGUCAGCCAUGCCCAGAGCCUGUGACUGAAGUACGGGAAACUCAGGAGACCAUGUGGCUGCCGAGCUGCAGGAAAGAACAGCUCCAGCCCCAGCUCAAAGAGCACCCUAGGGCACCCAUUGUCAUUGGAGAUAGUCCAGUUCCCCGCACCCCCCCAGCACUCCCAUCCUGUGCCCAGGAGCACCGGUCUGUUCUAGACAGCCAGGGCACGCUGUCCCCUGGCUCUCCACCCAUGCCCAUCAUCGACAAUGUCUUCAGCCUGGCCCCCUACCGUGACUAUCUAGAUGUGCAGACACCCGAGGCUGCCUCUGAGCCUGAUGCGGCCCAACCCCCCAAGGACAGCCAUGACCAAGACUCCAGGGAGACUCCGCCUGCCCAGGAGGCCCCUUUAAGGGAGCGUUGCUCACUUAGGGAGGAAGUGGCACUGGACUUGAGUGUGAAGAAACCCAUGGCAGAGGCUCCUCCUGUCAAGGUCCCCAGUCCUGCGGCAGACCCCGAGCUCCCUGUAGCCGUGGGUGUGCCGGGCGCAGGGAGCACAGUCUCAGAAUUACCUGGGUUGCCAGUGACCACUGAAGCCACCCCAAAGACCAACUUCCACAGCUCUGUGGCCUUCAUGUUUCGAAAAUUCAAGAUCCUCCGGCCAGCACCUUUGCCUGCAGCCAUGGUCCCAUCCGUGCCCACCUCGGUCCCUGCCUCUGACCAGCCUGCACCCACCUCUACAUCCAUGCCCAUUGGACUGCAGAUUCUCACCCAGCCCUUGCCUGUGGCCUGCUUUGACCUGGCGCUGCCCAGUUCUCCAGCUGUAUCUGUGGCCGCCACAGCCCCUACUGUGGCUCCAUCACAUGCUGCAGCCCAGGCUCCAACUCCAGCUUCUACCCCUGUCACAGUGGACUCCCCAGAGCAAUACUUUGCAGGGCUGCAUGAGUCCCUGUGUGAUGCCAUCUCCGGCUCAGUGGCCCACUCCCCACCCGAGAAGCUGCGCGAAUGGCUGGAGACAGCUGGGCCGUGGGGCCAGGCAGCGUGGCAGGACGGCCAGGCUGUGCAGGGGCUGCUGGGCAGGCUGCUGUCCCAGCUGCAGCGCUUCGUGUGCACACAGCAGUGCCCCUUCCCCCACGUCGUGCGGGCUGGCGCCAUCUUUGUGCCCAUCCACCUGGUGAAGGAGCGGCUCUUCCCAAGGCUGCCGCCUGCUUCUGUGGACCACGUGCUGCAGGAGCAUCGGGUGGAGCUGCGACCCACCACACUGUCAGAGGAGCGGGCGUUGCGGGAGCGGGCCCUGCGUGGCUGCACCUCGCGCAUGCUGAAGUUGCUGGCGCUGCGCCAGCUGCCCGACAUAUACCCUGACUUGCUGGGCCUGCAGUGGCGUGACUGUGUACGCCGCCAGCUGGGUGACUUUGACACUGAGGCUGGAUAUGUGCCAUCCUCAGAACCCACCAUGGCCAGAGAUGAGCCAGACAGCCUCUCCCUGGCUCAGAAGUCACCCAUCCCCAAGGCCAGGAAGCUGGGGAGGAAGCCACCAACUCCUGGCCCGGAGAAAGCAGAGGCGACUGCUGGGGGAGAGUCCCACGGUGCCUCACCUGCCCCUGAUGCCAGCGCCAGCCUACCCAGCCCCACACUGAGGGCCCGCUGCCGAAGACUGCUGGCAACCGCCUGGCUUAAUGGCCUGGCACUGCCCACUUGGGGCCACAAGGCCUCAGGAGCAGCCCUGCCCUCGCCCCGCCCACAGCUCUUGAGCGGCCAGAGCCAUCACCUGUAGCACUGGUGGCUGGUGCUGUUUGGACAGCUACUGUUUGGUAAUCACUCUCUCUAUCCCUCCCUCCAGCUGGCCAGCUGCCCAGGAGAGGAGGGGAGAUGCCCUUGGAGUGCUUCUCACCUGGCCCUGCUCUCCACCAGGCCAGGCUGGGAGUCCCUGGACUAGUAACUUGAGGGCCUUUAUUAGAAAGGACUACUUUCCAUCUUUAGAGAAGACAUGUGUGCUUUGGAGUUCCACCAACCAGGGCCCGGAUCCUAGCUCCUUGCUGUGUAACUGGCAAGUCACUUCCUCCCUUGAGCCCUUAGUUCCCCGUUUGUAAAGCAACAACAUAGCCUACCUCACAGGGUUGUGCAGGGGUGACACCUGGCACACACCCGUCAGGGUUCGCUCCCUGCUUCCUCCCCAGGACAAGGGCCCAGCUCCCAGCCUGGGCCUGGGCUAUGAGGCUGAGACAGACAACCUCCAGGAAGUUUUUAUAUGUCAUAGGACUUGGUUAUCUUGGGGUGGUACAGUGAACACUUUCUAGAGUCAUUCCCCAGGAAAGCCUAGAGUUACAGCCCCAGUGUUUGGGCUUGGGUCCUAAACCCCAGCCUGUAGCUCCCUAAGGGAGUCUGCCACCCCCCAUCCCCACUACAGGGGUGCAGGGGUAUAGCCUGGGGCUGGCAUCCUUGUUCUGGGCCUGCUGUUCUCACCCCUGGGAGGUCCCAGGCCUGUCCUAAGUUGAUGCCAGUGACUGCCCUGAACUACCAACCUCACCUAGUGCAUUAUCCCAAGAAAGCUGUAUGUCUGCUGGAAGCCGAGCAUCUGCAGCGACUAGAAGGGACGGGCUGAGAAACAGCUCAGUGCUGAAAGGUCUCUGAAGAUGCAGACUGAGGACUUUGGGGCUCUGCAAGUUGCAGCCCUAUCAGCCAGGCCUGCUAUGGGUUACCUUCUUGCAGUGCUAAACUGAGCCCAGAGUCUGGCAAGCUAGCCCCUUGGCCUGGUUAAGUUUGUAAUAAGGCUGUGGUCCAGGGAGACUCCGCCUGCCCGGGAGGCCCUUUUGAGGACACACUGCUCACUUAGGGAAGAGGUGGCACUGGACUUGAGUGUGAAGAAACUGGCAGAGACUCCUCUUGUCAAGGUCCCCAGUCCUGCAGUGCACUCCGAGCUCCCUGUAGCCGUGGGUGUGCCGGCCGUGGGGAGCAGAGCCU
Molecule: RNA transcript, 4435 nt
Organism: Phyllostomus discolor (pale spear-nosed bat)
Lineage: Eukaryota; Metazoa; Chordata; Mammalia; Chiroptera; Phyllostomidae
Gene: PRMT2IP
Gene name: chromosome 1 C15orf39 homolog
Exons: 4
Source: RefSeq, a predicted model, not a curated record